UACGUAGGGUGCAAGCGUUGUCCGGAAUUAUUGGGCGUAAAGGGCUCGUAGGCGGUCUGUUGCGUCGGUAGUGAAAACUCAGGGCUUAACCCUGAGCCUGCUUCCGAUACGGGCAGACUAGAGGUAUGCAGGGGAGAACGGAAUUCCUGGUGUAGCGGUGAAAUGCGCAGAUAUCAGGAGGAACACCGGUGGCGAGGGCGGUUCUCUGGGCAUUACCUGACGCUGAGGAGCGAAAGUGUGGGGAGCGAACAGG
RNAcentral lists this ribosomal RNA (253 nucleotides) under uncultured bacterium. Its description in RNAcentral is "partial 16S ribosomal RNA". It matches the Rfam family "Bacterial small subunit ribosomal RNA", at positions 524 to 776 of the family's 1533-position model. The record is from RNAcentral.